GUGGAUUAGAUACCCGGGUAGUCCUAGCCCUAAACGAUGUCGACUUGACGUCGGUGGCUUAAUCGUCAUCGGUGUCGUAGCUAACGCGAUAAGUCGACCGCCUGGGGACUACGGCCGCAAGGUUAAAACUCAAAGGAAUUGACGGGUCCCCGCACAAGCAGCGGAGCGUGUGGUUUAAUUCGUUGCUACACGAAGAACCUUACCUGGGUUUGACAUAGCAGUGGUAGGGAAGCGAAAGCGGACCGACCCUUCGGGGAGCUGUUACAGGUGUUGCACGGCCGUCGCCAACU
This 290-nucleotide ribosomal RNA is filed under the name uncultured bacterium. Its description in RNAcentral is "partial 16S ribosomal RNA". It matches the Rfam family "Bacterial small subunit ribosomal RNA", at positions 773 to 1060 of the family's 1533-position model. The record is from RNAcentral.